AUGUGAGCAUUAAGGACCGUCAACAAGCUCCCCCAAGCUUACCUCUUGCUCGUCCCUGAGCAAGGAUGGACUCAAGAGUUUCUGCAGUGGUUUUAUGCCUUAAAGGUACUCAUACGUUCAAACAAGAUCUCAUCUCUGGGUUAGGGUAAACGAUUCAGAUUUAAACUUACUCAUUUUACGUUCCUCCAUGGGGCUUGCAACCGUCACUUGUGUCUUGAGCAGUUAAAAGAUAGAACGGUCUAGUCAAGCGCCAUGUCUCUUGAUCUUCGAUUAACUAUAGCUCUAGAGUUUUUGCAGAUUUUCAAAUAAAACUCAGAGAUUCCUUGUAUGACUCUCUCCAGUCUCUCUUUUGUGGUAUAUCUGGAUCCUUACCAAGGUAGUAAUGGUGUAUGCCUUCUCUCAAAGUAUGUGGUAUUUUUGGUAUGAGGCAUAGUGGCAUUGCCUUCUCUCUCACCCUACUCUAAUAAGGUUUUGAUAUCUGGAGCUCAUAGGUGGGAGACAGCUAAUACAUACUUACAAGACAUUUAUUGCAUAGUCAAACCAUGGAUCCAGAAGAACAAGUCAAUAAGUCAGAUCAAGAUGUGCAUGUGUGGCGAAUGAAUGGUGAUAAUGGUGAAAAUAAUGGUGAAAGUCUAAUUCUACUUUUGUUCUUUUGAGGGGGUACAUACCUUCCUUGCACUUGAGGCUUUUGAGGGGAAUGAGAUGCUCUAUAUUUUAUUUUUCUUUUCUCUCAGGUGGGUAUCUUGUACUCCUAAUUCUACUGUCGGACACUUAUCCAUUUUUACCUCUCGUCUCACUUUUACUUUUACUUUUUUUUUUGAGGUUUCGGGCACAUGCCCCUUUUUAUUUCCUCGUAUUCACUUUUUUCAGAGCACUCACCCUCCUGGAAUAAUGUAGCAAGCGGUAGUAACCAAAAUAUCUUUAGCAUUUAUUUCACGGGGAACAACAGGGAUAGGAUAAUGUUUUUGGCUAUUCUCUCCUAGAAAGGAGUAGAAUAAUUUUGGGUGAAUCUGGAUAUGGAAAUGAGUGGAUGUAUGUGGAUGCGUACUUCCGGAGUAGAAGCAGCAUGUAUAAGUGAACGUGCAAGUGAAUCUUGAUUUUAACCGCAUGACAAGCUCCUAAGGGUCUACACAGCUUGACCACACUCAAUGCUCAUAAGCAGUAAAUAGUAAAUGUAUGGUUCAUAGUCUAAUAAGCAUGUAUAUAUGGCUGUGGUAGGAUUUUAGACUCUCAUCAUACAGGAACUCAUCAUGCAACAUUUUAAAGAUUUUCAAAGAUAAAAUUCUCAGAAUUCUAGCAUCUCUAAGAACAGAUAAACAGAGCUCAACCUUCCCAUAUCGUAUCCGUUAACGACUUAGACUUUAGAUUAAGUACUCUUCCCACAAGUUCAGGUUUAGAGCAAAUUUUAAUUAAUAACAGUCAUGCCUAAACUUGAGAGAGAUUUCAAUUUUGAGAACUAGUCAUGGUAGAGCAACUAUUCAUCAUUUCCAUGUGAGAGCUUAUCAUGAGGGUUUAUAGCAAACUUUAUUUAUUUAUUUAUUUAGCAAACUAAGCAAAGAUAUAUAUAUAAGCACAAAAUCUUUAUUUGGGUUUUUAUAAUUAUGCAUCUUUUUAUUAUUUGAGUAAAGUAUAAAUGUGAGUAGAACACUUAGCUGGAUAAUUGGGGGUGCUCUCCCCCAAGCUGGAUUUUGACGCAAUUUCUUCUGAUGUAGCUAGCAGGUGGCGGAGGUGUAUUUGAAUGUCGGCAGCACCCUGACAGUGAUUAGGAUGUCCUCUGUCUGCUUAGUCUUCUUUGAUCAUUGAAUUCUGUGGAGCUCAAAUAGACAAAAAAAGCUUUGUGGAACUGGUUAAGUGUUAGCAUAAAAUCUCUUAGCCAUUAUCAUGUUGAGCUUCCUCUAAUAAAUAUUACUCUCUUUGGUAAGAUCGUAAAUUUAUUUUUAUAUUUUCAUUUUUAUAUGACAGGAAUAUAUUUAUUUUAUUUUUACGCCACCACAGUGAAUGUACUUAUGGAUUUUAUACCAUGAGCAUACUCACAUGGGGCUUACCUUUUUUUAAUAGUUUUAUUUUCUUUACAAGAUAGCAUGAUUAACUAACAAGCCAUUUAAUGAAAGUAAAUAAUUUAAGGGAAAAGGGAAUGCAGAAAGGAUAUAGAUAUUAAUAACUACCAAUUUUACCUUACGGCGAGGGUUCAAUGUUUUAAGUCUUCUGAACAAGACUUCUCACCGUGUUCAUUCUUUAGGUGCGUCAUUUGAUUCAGGUGUGGACCUUGACGUCUGCACCUCUUGAUACAGUGUCACCCAUGUUCUUCGUUUGCCCAGCAGUUCGAAGUGCGGUGUUGGCACCAUCCUGCUCAGUAUGUUUGUGCUCGUAGAUCCAGGUCCUUCACUUGGUGGAGUCUGGGAGUUGUAAAACUCCUCCAUGUUUUGCUCGAAGUGUACCUGCUCAUAGAGACGAGGCAGAGAUCAAGUGUAUGGGCCCUGUUGGUGGAAAACACCAACAGAACCAAAAGUGUAUUUGUUCUUCUCUAACCUUAAGCAUUGUGAGCAAGACAAAGUUGAUGGAUAAUAAAAUCAUGAGUGUAGCAUUAUAUAUAUAUAUAUAUAUAUUCCAAAGAUUGCGUGUGCAACAAUUUAGCUCAUAUGAUUAGGAGUGUGGGAUCACAACGGUGGAAGGACUAAACAUAUUGAAUCGAUUGAGUUGGUUAAUCUAGAGUUGUAAAUCAUACAUGUUUGUCUCUUUUAUUCAUGUGAACGCCAGAACCAAGGAGAAGCUAAUAAAAGUGAUAGUCAAGUAUCUUAAGAUGUUACCUUACUUGAAGAGUGAUGGUACAGAAUUACCUUGUGGAAGCUUUCCUUUCUUAGCAGUUGU
RNAcentral lists this long non-coding RNA (2868 nucleotides) under Sorghum bicolor (sorghum). RNAcentral describes it as "long non-coding RNA (SBIC_LNC016489)". The record is from RNAcentral. Lineage: Eukaryota; Viridiplantae; Streptophyta; Magnoliopsida; Poales; Poaceae.